CAGAUUUUUCUUUUUUAACAAAUAGUGCUAAUGCUUUUGUCUCCUUGUGGUAAUUGCUGUAGGUAGUCCCGGACUCCUGGAUCCUUGUGAAAAGGAUCCCUUUGAUACCUUGGCAACAAUGACUGACCAGCAGCGGGAAGACAUCACAUCCAGUGCACAGUUUGCAUUGAGACUCCUUGCAUUCCGCCAGAUACACAAAGUUCUAGGCAUGGAUCCAUUACCCCAAAUGAGCCAACGUUUCAAUAUCCACAACAACAGGAAACGAAGAAGGGAUAGUGAUGGAGUGGAUGGAUUUGAAGCUGAGGGGAAAAAAGACAAAAAAGAUUAUGAUAACUUUUAAAAAGUUUCUGUAAAUCUUCAGUGUUAAAAACAACAGGUGCCCGUUUGUUGGCUGUUUUUCAUUCAUAAUAAUGUCUACUUUGAAAAAUUUAUCAAGAAUUUUAAAGAUUUCAUGGAAGAACCAAGUUUUUCUAUGACAUUAAAAAGUUAAUGUACAGUGUUAGGUAUUAUAUGAAUGGAAAGACACCAAAAAAAAAAAGAGAGAGAGAGAAGCAUUGUGCUCUGACUAGGGGGAAAAUUGGUUCUGAUUUUUCCCCCCAUUAUUUUGGUUUUAUUUUCUGGUUACCCUAGCUCUACCCUCCCCUAUUUUUGUGUCUUUUAUUAACUAGUGCAUUGUCUUAUUAAAUCUUUACUGUAUUUAAUGCAAGAUUUGUGCUUCAGUUGCUCUAUGUAUUUUGAUAUUUUUAUUUAGACAUUUUGUUUGCUUUUGACACUAGUUGUAAGUUACUUUGUGUUAUAGAUGAUAUCCUUUACCCUUUCUUAAUAUUUUACAGCAGUACGUUUUUUUGUAACGUGAAACUGCAGAUUUUUUUUUCUUUUGUUCUAUAUGUGAAGGAUUACAACACAAAAAGUUAUUCUGCCAUUUGAGUGCUCAGAACUGAAUGUUUCUGCGGAUCUUGUGGCAUUUGUCUCUCUAGUGUGAUAUAUAAAGGUGUAAUUAAGACAGAUUUCUGUUAAUUAAUCAAGUUUGCUGUUAGUUGUGCAUUAGCAGUAUAAAAGCUAAUAUAUACUAUACAGUCUUGCAACAGUUUUAAAGCCUCUGCAUAAUUGAUAAUAAAAAUGCAUGACGUUUUUGUUUUUAAUAGACUUUUAAAAUUAUAAUUUUAGGUUUAACACGUAGACUUUGUACAGUUGACUUUUUGACAUAGCAAGGCCAAAAAAUAACUUUCUGAAUAUUUUUUUCUUCUGUAUAAGUGGAAAGGGCAUUUUUCACAUAUAAGUGGGCUAACCAAUAUUUUCGAAAGAACUUUAUCAUUGUGCAGUUAACAACAGUAACUAGCCCUUAAUUACAGUGACAGCUCCUUAUCGGUGUGUGUGAGAUUACUCUAGCAACUAUUAGAGUAUAACACAUUUGAAUGAUCUCCCCCACACCCCAUCACCCAGAUAAUUUACAGUUCUAUUAACAGUGAGGUCAGUAAAGUAUCACUGAUAAAAAAUUAAGAUUACGGAAAAAAAAACCAGAAAAUUAUUUGGUGUGGCCAUCUUACAUGCUUUUAUGUCUCCUACACAAAGCUAAAUAUUCUAGCAGUGGUGUAAUGAAAAGUUACAUCUUACUGUUGAUGUAUGUAUGCUCUGAUACACAGACGUCAUUUUGUUGUCAUGGCACUACAGUGAAAUACACAAAUAAAAACAAAUUCAUAUAAUGACUUAAAUGUAUGAUAUGUUAGAGUUGACAUCAUAAACUACUUUUGCUUUGAAAUGACUAUGGCUUCAGUAAAAUCAUAUUUAAAUUUA
Molecule: long non-coding RNA, 1794 nt
Organism: Otolemur garnettii (small-eared galago)
Lineage: Eukaryota; Metazoa; Chordata; Mammalia; Primates; Galagidae
Exons: 2
Source: RefSeq, a predicted model, not a curated record